GAUGAACGCUGGCGGCGUGCCUAAUACAUGCAAGUCGAGCGAACAGAUGAGGAGCUUGCUCCUCUGACGUUAGCGGCGGACGGGUGAGUAACACGUGGAUAACCUACCUAUAAUACUGGGAUAACUUCGGGAAACCGGAUCUAAUACCGGAUAAUAUAUUGAACCGCAUGGUUCAAUAGUGAAUGACGGUUUUGCUGUCUCUUUUAGAUGGAUCCGGGCGGCAUUAGCUAGUUGGUAAGGUAACGGCUUACCAAGGCAACGAUGCGUAGCCGACGGGAGAGGGUGAUCGGCGACACGGGAAGGGAGACACGGACAAGAGGACUACGGGAGGAAGCAGAAGGGAAUGGGCGGCAAUGGGCGAAAGCAUGACGGAGCAACGCCGCAUGAGUGAUGAAGGUGUUCGGAUCGUAAAACUCUGUUAUGAGGGAAGAACAAAUGUGUAAGUAAAUAUGCACGUAGUGACGGUAACUAAUCAGAAAGCAACGGCUAACUACGUG
RNAcentral lists this ribosomal RNA (497 nucleotides) under uncultured bacterium. Its description in RNAcentral is "partial 16S ribosomal RNA". It matches the Rfam family "Bacterial small subunit ribosomal RNA", at positions 28 to 507 of the family's 1533-position model. The record is from RNAcentral.